ACAGUAUUGUAAUUAAUCUUAAGCAGGCACAUUUAAAACUGUAUUAUUAACAAUAAUAAUGAAACUAUUUCAAAUUAUUUUCGCAGUUGUCUGCAUAAUUGUUGGUGUUUUGGGUGAACCUGGUCAUAAUAUCGUAAGUGGUGAUAACAUUACAGGAGUUAAUCAAAACAAUGGCGAUUUUAGUCUUGGUCUCGAUUUGCCAAUACCUAUAUAAGAAAUUAUUGUUUUUGUAAAAAAAAAAUUGUAUUUAUAUAUUAAAAUACGGAAUGCAAAUUGCUAAUUUAUAAAUUAUAAGAUUUUCUAAUCUUUACUUCAUAAAUAA
Calliphora vicina (urban bluebottle blowfly) is the source of this 322-nucleotide long non-coding RNA. RefSeq lists it as uncharacterized. The transcript is spliced from 2 exons. Lineage: Eukaryota; Metazoa; Arthropoda; Insecta; Diptera; Calliphoridae. The record is from RefSeq and is a predicted model, not a curated record.